GUACGCUGGCGGCACGCCUAACACAUGCAAGUCGCAACGCAGUAGCAAUACUGAGUGGCGAACGGGUGAGUAUAAUGUGGGUAUCUGCCUUUUGGUUUGGAAUAACACGAGGAAACUUGUGCUAAUACCGGAUAAGCCUUCACAGGGAAAGUUUUAACGCCAAAAGAUGAGCCCGCACUCGAUUAGCUAGUUGGUAAGGUAAUAGCUUACCAAGGCUACGAUCAAUAGCUGAUCUGAGAGGAUGAUCAGCCACAUUGGGACUGAGACACGGCCCAAACUCCUACGGGAGGCAGCAGUGGGGAAUCUUGCACAAUGGGGGAAACCCUGAUGCAGCGAUGCCGCGUGAGUGAAGAAGGCCUUUGGGUUGUAAAGCUCUUUCGUCGGGGAAGAAAAUGACUGUACCCGAAUAAGAAGGUCCGGCUAACUUCGUGCCAGCAGCCGCGGUAAUACGAAGGGACCUAGCGUAGUUCGGAAUUACUGGGCUUAAAGAGCUCGUAGGUGGUUAGAAAAGUUAGUGGUGAAAUCCCAAGGCUCAACCUUGGAACUGCCACUAAAACUUUUUAACUAGAGUAUGAUAGAGGAAAGUGGAAUUUCUAGUGUAGAGGUGAAAUUCGUAGAUAUUAGAAAGAACACCGAUUGCGAAGGCAGCUUUCUGGAUCAUUACUGACACUGGAGGAGCGAAAGCAUGGGUAGCGAAGAGGAUUAGAUACCCUCGUAGUCCAUGCCGUAAACGAUGUGUGCUAGACGUUGGAAACUUAGUUUUCAGUGUCGCAGCAAAAGCGUUAAGCACACCGCCUGGGGGAGUACGACCGCAAGGUUAAAACUCAAAUGAAUUGACGGGGACCCGCACA
RNAcentral lists this ribosomal RNA (851 nucleotides) under uncultured bacterium. RNAcentral describes it as "bacterial SSU rRNA". It matches the Rfam family "Bacterial small subunit ribosomal RNA", at positions 31 to 927 of the family's 1533-position model. The record is from RNAcentral.